This is a non-coding RNA of Durio zibethinus, 2333 nucleotides long. The record is from RefSeq and is a predicted model, not a curated record. Lineage: Eukaryota; Viridiplantae; Streptophyta; Magnoliopsida; Malvales; Malvaceae.
UAUCCUACCACCCUCUAGGCUUCUGCAUUCUUCCACGUGUCACCUCUAGAUUCCCACACUCCCUAAUCAUCCUCCGAAAACACACUCAUCUUCAUUCCCCACUCAAAUUCGAUCAAAAACCAAAAGCUUCAAUUUUUUUUAACCUUUCUUUCAAUGGCUGAUUCUGUGUUUUUCCCUUUGGCUGCCAAGGCUCCCUAUGAUCAUUCUUCUUUGGUUUUCCGAAACUGCCGUUUCCCUUCACGUUUGUUGCCAUCCCAGUCCUUCUCUUUGAAACUGAAUGGGAAUAAGUUGAAUGUGUUGGCCCUGAGUCAGUACUCGUUCCUCUCGCUCCACCACCGAGUUGGCCCGAUUCGUGCUCUUGAAUCGGACGUUCCUCAGCCACUUCACAAGGAUUCAGUGAAUUUUAAGAGUACAAAGAGCUAUGAGGAAUGGGAUUCAUUGACAGCAAAGUUUUCUGGGGCGGCAAAUAUACCAUUUUUAUUGCUUCAAUUGCCUCAGAUCAUCCUCAAUGCACGCAAUCUUCUGGCAGGGAAUAAGACUGCCCUUUUGGCAGUACCAUGGAUGGGAAUGUUCACUGGUUUGCUUGGAAACCUUUCACUGCUUUCUUACUUUGCCAAGAAAAGGGAAAUGGAGGCAGUUGUGGUGCAAACACUAGGAGUGGUAUCGAUAUAUGUGGUGAUUACGCAGCUCGCAAUGGCAGAAGCUAUGCCGCUACCUUACUUUGUGGCCACUUCUGCUGUUGUGGGUGCUGGACUCAUUUUAAAUUUUUUAAACUACCAUGGUAUGCUCAACGUGACAAUCUGGCAAUUUUGGGAAGAUUUUAUUACUGUUGGUGGACUUUCAGUGCUUCCCCAGAUAAUGUGGUCCACAUUCGUCCCAUAUAUACCUAAUAGCAUCUUGCCAGGGGCAAUAGCUUUUGUUCUUGCUAUGGCAGCUGUAACUAUGGCACAUAUGGGCAAACUUUCAGCGAAAGGUGUCAAAUUCGUUGGAGCUAUUUCUGGAUGGACAGCAACACUUCUUUUUAUGUGGAUGCCUGUUUCACAAAUGUGGACAAAUUUCUUGAAUCCUGAUAAUAUUAAAGGCCUAUCAGCUUUUUCAAUGUUGCUUGCUAUGAUUGGAAAUGGACUUAUGAUUCCACGUGCUCUAUUCAUUCGUGAUUUUAUGUGGUUCACUGGUUCUACUUGGGCAACACUCUUUUAUGGUUAUGGGAAUAUUGUAUGCUUAUACUUUUUCAACUCUAUCAGCCGAGAAUUCUUCUUUGCAGCAACAGUUGGUUUGAUUUCAUGGCUAGGAAUGGCUCUAUGGAGAAACACUGUUGUAUGUGGAUAUGACUCACCGAUAAGAACUUUGAAAGAGUUGGUUUUUGGAUCAUAAGGUGAAGCCAGUUGUGACAAAGCCAUGAGUUGGAAUGGCACAAAAGUGAUUUGCAUGAUCUUGAGCAUGAAAUAUUCUUUGCUGAGAUUCCAAUUAUGUGGUCAAUAUUGUGGCCACAGUCUGCCAACUAAAGAGUUUACCAAAUCGAUAGUAGUGCAUGUUCCUAAUUUCCAAUGAUUUUAUUUGCAAACAUAGCUGGAAUGAUCAUAUGUAAUUAGUACUGGAAUUGAAUAAGGAUGGAUGAUAUGACAGUUCAUGUUAUCAGGAACUGCUGUCCAAUUAUACAAACUUGGACUGGAAAAUGGUUGGCGUGAGGUAUAUUGCAGAGUGAUGGCAGAUAAUAAACAGCCUGAUUCCAAUUACUGCUUGCUUUGGGGCGUUAUAAUGUUCUUGCUGAACUAAUUAAUCUUUUCUCAUACUUUUUUGUGCUAUAAUUUUUUUGUAGGAGGAAAAAUUCCUGUCAAAAUCGUUCUCUAUUAUGAAUUACAAUUUUCCUUCAUGUCAUUUUGAGAUGUCAUAACCAUAACCAUGCUAGGCAGUCGAGAUACUUGUAAGGAUCUUGUUCCAUUAUUCUCUAGAUUGUUGUUUUCUGUAGCGAUAGUCGCAUAUUUUGGAGAUUGGUUUUCACACGGUUUUGAUCAACUCUCUUCUUGGCAUACACUAUUUAGGUAAUUUAGACGGGGCUUUGGUAAGUUGUGAUUGGGCCCAAAAAAGAGCUCCAAUCGCACCAUAGCAUUCGUUUUGUUCAAUGGAGAUAAUUACCCAGUGAACAUCAAGGAUUUUAAAUGCUUAUCCUGACUUCAAAUAACUCGUUUCCAGUAUUGAACUGUAUUUACUCAGGUGUGUAAACCAUACUCUUUUGAUGUAAUAGCAUUUCCAUAAAUGUACACUAGGAUGUUUCUUUUCUUUAUUUUUAGGGUUGGGUUGGGGAGUGAGGCUAGUAUAGUUAUUUGGACACU